Molecule: unclassified non-coding RNA, 323 nt
Filed under: fungal sp.
Lineage: Eukaryota; Fungi
Description: partial internal transcribed spacer region
Source: RNAcentral
AAGUCGUAACAAGGUUUCCGGUAUCAAAUCAUAGCCCGGAAAGUUGUUUUGAUUCAGAGACCUCUGGCUACGUGAGAACAAUGGAACAGUUACAAUCGAGCGGUAGUUUCAUAGGCAUUGUUUCCCCAAGCAGUCAGUGUCGGAAAGUGUCAUUGAUUGUGCAAGGAUAGCGCUUCACGAUUCCUGUAGACCGUACACUCGGGCAGGAGCUAUGCCAAAGGGUCCCCAUGCCCCCUUACAACCCCACAGUUUAAUGUAAAGCUCAAUGUAAUACAUUGGGUAAAAAAACCGAACAACUGUUAACAAUGGAUAUCUUGGUUCUC